This 389-nucleotide ribosomal RNA is filed under the name Phaeocystis sp. RNAcentral's name for it is "partial small subunit ribosomal RNA". It matches the Rfam family "Eukaryotic small subunit ribosomal RNA", at positions 582 to 975 of the family's 1831-position model. The record is from RNAcentral. Lineage: Eukaryota; Haptophyta; Phaeocystales; Phaeocystaceae.
AUUCCAGCUCCAAUAGCGUAUAUUAAAGUUGUUGCAGUUAAAAAGCUCGUAGUCGGAUUUCGGGGCCUGCCGAGCGGUCUGCCGAUGGGUAUGCACUGUUCGGCGCGUCCUUCUUUCCGGAGACUAAUUCUACUCUUAACUGAGCGGAAUUGGGAGACGGAUCGUUUACUUUGAAAAAAUCAGAGUGUUUCAAGCAGGCAGCUCGCUCUUGCAUGGAUUAGCAUGGGAUAAUGAAAUAGGACUUUGGUGCUAUUUUGUUGGUUUCGAACACCGAAGUAAUGAUUAACAGGGACAGUCAGGGGCACUCGUAUUCCGCCGAGAGAGGUGAAAUUCUCAGACCAGCGGAAGACGAACCACUGCGAAAGCAUUUGCCAGGGAUGUUUUCAUCA